This 202-nucleotide long non-coding RNA is filed under the name Elaeis guineensis (African oil palm). RNAcentral describes it as "long non-coding RNA (EGUI_LNC026613)". The record is from RNAcentral. Lineage: Eukaryota; Viridiplantae; Streptophyta; Magnoliopsida; Arecales; Arecaceae.
AUGCCUUGGGGGUCGACUCAUGGGUCGACUCACAGGGUGUGCCAAGUCUGUGCCGGCCAGGAAUUUCAGCGUGCCAGUCAUCUCAUGUGCCAUGAGUCGACUCAUGGGUCGACUCAUGAUUUUCAAACAUGCAUAUCUUUCAAAAUACAAGUCCAAAAAUAAUAAAAUUUUUACCAAUGGAUCACAAAUCUUUUGUUCUAUC